RNAcentral lists this ribosomal RNA (426 nucleotides) under uncultured bacterium. RNAcentral's name for it is "bacterial SSU rRNA". It matches the Rfam family "Bacterial small subunit ribosomal RNA", at positions 355 to 772 of the family's 1533-position model. The record is from RNAcentral.
UGGGGAAUUUUUCGCAAUGGGGGAAACCCUGACGAAGCAACGCCGCGUGGAGGAUGAAGGCCUUCGGGUUGUAAACUCCUGUCGACCGGGACGAAAGUAGUCCGACCCAAUACGUCGGGCUAUCGACUGUACCGGUGGAGGAAGCCACGGCUAACUACGUGCCAGCAGCCGCGGUAAUACGUAGGUGGCAAGCGUUGUCCGGAAUCAUUGGGCGUAAAGCGCGCGCAGGCGGUCCUUUAAGUCUGAUGUGAAAUCUUGCGGCUCAACCGUAAGCGGUCAUUGGAAACUGGGGGACUUGAGUGCAGGAGAGGAAAGCGGAAUUCCAUGUGUAGCGGUGAAAUGCGUAGAGAUAUGGAGGAACACCAGUGGCGAAGGCGGCUUUCUGGCCUGUAACUGACGCUGAGGCGCGAAAGCGUGGGGAGCAAA